AGAACGAACGCUGGCGGCAGGCCUCAAACAUGCAAGUCUAGGGGGCGUAGCAAUACGUCACCGGCGGACGGGUGCGUAACACGUGGGAAUGUACUUAUUGGUUCGGAACAACUCAGGGAAACUUGAGCUAAUACCGAAUGUGCCCGUAAGGGGAAAGAUUUAUCGCCAAUAAAUCAGCCCGCGUCCGAUUAGCUAGUUGGUGGGGUAAAGGCUCACCAAGGCGACGAUCGGUAGCUGUUCUGAGAGGAAGAUCAGCCACACUGGGACUGAGACACGGCCCAGACUCCUACGGGAGGCAGCAGUUGGGAAUCUUGGACAAUGGGGGAAACCCUGAUCCAGCCAUGCCGCGUGAGUGAUGAAGGCCUUAGGGUUGUAAAACUCUUUCGGCGGGGACGAUAAUGACGGUACCCGCAGAAGAAGCUCCGGCUAACUUCGUGCCAGCAGCCGC
RNAcentral lists this ribosomal RNA (448 nucleotides) under uncultured bacterium. Its description in RNAcentral is "SSU rRNA". It matches the Rfam family "Bacterial small subunit ribosomal RNA", at positions 26 to 518 of the family's 1533-position model. The record is from RNAcentral.